This 465-nucleotide ribosomal RNA is filed under the name uncultured bacterium. Its description in RNAcentral is "partial 16S ribosomal RNA". It matches the Rfam family "Bacterial small subunit ribosomal RNA", at positions 28 to 507 of the family's 1533-position model. The record is from RNAcentral.
GACGAACGCUGGCGGCGUGCUUAACACAUGCAAGUCGUACGGUAAGGCCCUUUCGGGGGUACACGAGUGGCGAACGGGGGGGUAACCCGUGAGUAACCUGCCAACAACUUUGGGAUAACGCUAGGAAACUGGUGUAAUUACUGGAUAUGUGCUCCUGCUGCAUGGGGGGGGUUGGAAAGCUCCGGCGGUUGUGGAUGGACUCGCGGCCUAUCAGCUUGUUGGUGGGGUAGUGGCCUACCAAGGCGGCGACGGGUAGCCGGCCUGGGAGGGUGACCGGCCACAUUGGGACUGAGAUACGGCCCAGACUCCUACGGGAGGCAGCAGUGGGGAAUAUUGCACAAGGGGCGCAAGCCUGAUGCAGCAACGCCGCGUGCGGGAUGACGGCCUUCGGGUUGUAAACCGCUUUCAGCAGGGACGAAGCUUUUUGUGACGGUACCUGCAGAAGAAGCACCGGCUAACUACGUG